This 254-nucleotide RNase P RNA is filed under the name Alkalicoccobacillus porphyridii. RNAcentral's name for it is "Bacterial RNase P class A". It matches the Rfam family "Bacterial RNase P class A", at positions 108 to 367 of the family's 367-position model. Rfam says of the family: Ribonuclease P (RNase P) is a ubiquitous endoribonuclease, found in archaea, bacteria and eukarya as well as chloroplasts and mitochondria. Lineage: Bacteria; Bacillati; Bacillota; Bacilli; Caryophanales; Bacillaceae. The record is from Rfam by way of RNAcentral.
AGUGCAACAGAGAGCAAGCCGCCGAUGGCCCGCGCAAGCGGGAUCAGGUAAGGGUGAAAGGGUGCGGUAAGAGCGCACCGCGCGGCUGGUAACAGUCCGUGGCACGGUAAACUCCACCCGGAGCAAGGCCAAAUAUGGGUUCAUAAGGUACGGCCCGUACUGAACCCGGGUAGCCUGCUUGAGCCGCUGACCAAUUGCUGGCCUAGAUGAAUGACUGUCCACGACAGUACCCGGCUUAUCGGUCAGUUUCACCU